This 411-nucleotide ribosomal RNA is filed under the name bacterium enrichment culture clone ALO1_GLFRUDD03GOJA6. RNAcentral's name for it is "bacterial SSU rRNA". It matches the Rfam family "Bacterial small subunit ribosomal RNA", at positions 9 to 420 of the family's 1533-position model. The record is from RNAcentral.
GAGUUUGAUCGUGGCUCAGAUUGAACGCUGGCGGCAUGCCUUACACAUGCAAGUCGAACGGCAGCACGGGAGCUUGCUCCUGGUGGCGAGUGGCGAACGGGUAAGUAAUGCAUCGGAACGUAUCCUGGAGUGGGGGAUAACGUAGCGAAAGUUACGCUAAUACCGCAUAUUCUGUGAGCAGGAAAGCGGGGGACCUUCGGGCCUCGCGCUCUUGGAGCGGCCGAUGUCGGAUUAGCUAGUUGGUGAGGUAAAGGCUCACCAAGGCGACGAUCCGUAGCAGGUCUGAGAGGAUGAUCUGCCACACUGGAACUGAGACACGGUCCAGACUCCUACGGGAGGCAGCAGUGGGGAAUUUUGGACAAUGGGGGCAACCCUGAUCCAGCCAUGCCGCGUGAGUGAAGAAGGCCUCGG